This 366-nucleotide transfer-messenger RNA is filed under the name Insulibacter thermoxylanivorax. It matches the Rfam family "transfer-messenger RNA". Rfam says of the family: Bacterial tmRNA, also known as 10Sa RNA or SsrA, is named for its dual tRNA and mRNA-like properties. Its role is to liberate the mRNA from a stalled ribosome. To accomplish this part of the tmRNA is used as a reading frame that ends in a translation stop signal. Lineage: Bacteria; Bacillati; Bacillota; Bacilli; Caryophanales; Paenibacillaceae. RNAcentral also lists the same sequence under 1 other name. The record is from Rfam by way of RNAcentral.
GGGGGCGUUUAUGGAUUCGACGGGGGUAGUUCGAGCAUGAGCAGCGGGUAGUGGGGCAGCGUCCACUAUAAAACGCGAAGCCAAGUUUAAAUGGCAAACAACAACCUUCUUACGCUUUAGCAGCCUAAGAAACUGCUGGCGUGCUCCUGCCCGGCAUCGCCCACGUGCUGGGACAGGGGCUCACCCCAGUGGGCUACGCAGUCUGACCUCCGCCUGUGGUCGACUGAAGAAGACAAUCAGGCUAGCCUGGUGAGCAGCGGGUGACUUGGCAGCUCGCUAGGUGAACCAUCCUCAAGUCACUACACCCGUAGAAACUCAUGUGUUCGUUAUCUCCGGACAGGGGUUCGACUCCCCUCGCCUCCACCA